This is a regulatory RNA element of 114 nucleotides. It matches the Rfam family "TPP riboswitch aptamer (THI element)". From Rfam's summary of the family: Vitamin B(1) in its active form thiamin pyrophosphate (TPP) is an essential coenzyme that is synthesised by coupling of pyrimidine and thiazole moieties in bacteria. The previously detected thiamin-regulatory element, thi box was extended, resulting in a new, highly conserved RNA secondary structure, the THI element, which is widely distributed in eubacteria and also occurs in some archaea. Analysis of operon structures identified a large number of new candidate thiamin-regulated genes, mostly transporters, in various prokaryotic organisms. The record is from Rfam.
UAUCGAUGCUAGGGGCGCUGAAAUAAGGUCAGCUGAGAGAGAAAGCCAAAAACUUACAAACCCUAAACACCUGAUCAAGAUAAUGCUUGCGAAGGGAAGCUGGUAGAAAAUUUU